Molecule: long non-coding RNA, 2060 nt
Filed under: Sus scrofa (pig)
Lineage: Eukaryota; Metazoa; Chordata; Mammalia; Artiodactyla; Suidae
Description: lncRNA (ENSSSCG00025004324.1)
Source: RNAcentral
AGAGCUGAGGGGUAGCCGGGCUAGCAGUUCACGCACAGAUCAGACCCCGGAGUCGAUCCUGAAACGAGAAAGGGCUGUUUCUGGUGAUACCGGUGAGCAGUUAGGGGCAGCUGGGCUCCUCCUGGGGAAGCUGCAGGUGACCACUGGCCUGGCUUCCGCUCCCUCUGUGGUCGCCGUCUGAGGCUUCAGGAAGGUCACGUCUUCUCUGUUGGUGGACCUUUUGCUCUUCCUUGAGUCCGCAGAGAGGGAGCUGAACCUGAUCGGACCCUGAGACAUCUGGGAAAGUGGGAGGCUCAGACCCAGGAAUUGCCAGCACGUCCUGGAGGUGCUCGGUGAUGCUUUGCUGUAAGGAGCAGAGCAGACUCCUGAGGCACGUGUCAAGGUCCCCGUCUUCUCGUGUGUUUGAUAAGCAGUCCCAUUCAAGUGUAUGUUCCUUUUGAAAGUGGCUUAAGCCCAUGACAAAAAUAUCUACCAAACAAGCUAAACCACGUUGAAAGAACAAAUGUGAGGCGCAUCAGGCUGCGUUAAAAGUGCCCUGGAUUUACCGACUCUGUUGGAAAAAUGUUUCUCAACGACGCGAAGUCAUCAGGCAAAAUCCUUAGCUCUCCUUUUGCAAAGUAAACAAUCUCCCCACGUAAAUCACACUCACAGCAUAGGGAUUAUGAAGUAUAAAUAGAAUUUCACGGUGUUUGCAGUGGCUCUGAAAUACCGGUGUACAAAAGUAGGCUGGCACGCAGUGCCCUUCCGUUUAGCAGUUGGAAGUGAGACCAGCAGGGGUGGUAGGUAUUGGAAUCAGGUCUGGACAGCAGAGCUUGUACAGCAGGCGUCUUGUGUUUAGGAUCUGAAACGCAGUGAGCCGAGCCACGCGCCCUGCCCAGGGUGACGCUCACCCUCUGCCGUCACAGGUCUUGUCGCCAGAGAGGGCGCCGCAGCUGCUCACAGUCACCUUCAGGAUGAAGGCGACACUGGCGCGGUUUCACGCGAAGGGCAGGCUGUUGGCUUGGCCCUGGGAAGUGCAGGCCUGGUGUGGCAGCUCCAAUGCCUGGCCAGAAAUGCAACUGCGUUUUGCAUGAAAAGGAUUUUUAUCAAAGCGCAUUCAUGGAACAGUGUUACUCUGAUGGUUGUUUGGCUUCUGAUUUCAGCCUUUUUCAUUCACUUCAAAGACGUUUUUUAAAAAUGUGCCUGGACUUUGUACCCAGAGGCAGACAAGCCGCAGAGACCAGCUCUGCAAGAGGCACCCGCGUGGUGCCAGGCACGUGGAGGUGCUCGGUCCUGUAGCCGUUCCUCUGUGGGAGACGAGGGCAGCUGUGCCGUGGUCUCUAGACUCGGUGCCAGGCUGACCUUCCAUUUCAGACAAGUGUCAGUUUCACCCCUGACGUGUCGUGGGUGGAGGUGACAUCCACGCGCUUGCUGGACUCCACGAGCGCGUCUCUCAGAAGCGUGGGCCCGGCCCCCGCCUUGGUCCAGACGCCCCCCGUUCUUGUUCCCUUCCAUCCUUGCUGGGCGUUCAGCGCCCCUCCUCGCCGUCGCCCGGUCUGGCCUCUGCCCCGGGCCUGCCCUGGCGGGGCUGCUGGCCCAGGCCUUCCUUCCUCGGUACCCGCGUAGCAGUUGGCCCCGUGGGCAGACCCUUCAACUUAGAGGUCCGUCUCGGUUUCCGUGGCAGCGCAGGCCGGUUUCUCCCCUCCUCCGAAGGUCCUUCCUCCUCCGUGCGACGCGGCCGUGUCUGUCCUCAGCUUCCUCCUGGGUCCGCGCGGUGCUCUGGGCGGCCGCACCUACCUCCAGACGGCAGCCGCCAGGCACGUUCCUGCCGCCCGCGCCCAGGCCGGCUUCUCUGGCGGCAAGGGCUCGAGGUCCUCUCCACACCCAGACCCGUGUUCACAUCCACACCCGGCUGACGUGCAGACGCCUCAAGCUCACGCGUUCACGACGGCGCUCACGGCCCCACCGGGCCCACGCGCUCUCCCCUCGGCGUCCUGGGCCCUCGUCUGCCGCCUCUUCCUCUGGCCCAGAGCUCCCUGCGUACAGUUCCAUUAAAAGGCUUGUCUUUGUUCUCGGUCUUA